CGGGCUGGUCGUUUGGAUCCAUCAACCAUCGGGCACAGUGGACAAGCAAUAUCGAUAAUAGGUUGCCCUCUUUCAUCUGUGUUGUCAACACCAUUACGCCUUGUUACUACCAACAUUUAUGGUAUGGCGGCUACAGCAGUCGGGGUGUAUUGUACGAGUCGAUAUGCUGCUGAUAUCGGCAGGAGGGAUGCGGUGAAAGUUCGGUGGAGGAUCUUACAGCAAGACUGACAACGGGCUUGCUUCAGGCGAUUGAGCCCCAACCCCUGGUAGUCCCUGCCCAUUAGCAUCUGCUUGCUAAAAGUCUUCAACCCGGUCAAAUUAUCUAUGUCUUUCCAAAU
Hibiscus syriacus is the source of this 338-nucleotide long non-coding RNA. RefSeq lists it as uncharacterized. The transcript is spliced from 3 exons. The record is from RefSeq and is a predicted model, not a curated record. NCBI's taxonomy places the organism in Eukaryota, Viridiplantae, Streptophyta, Magnoliopsida, Malvales, Malvaceae.